Long non-coding RNA from Zingiber officinale, 989 nucleotides. RefSeq lists it as uncharacterized. The transcript is spliced from 3 exons. NCBI's taxonomy places the organism in Eukaryota, Viridiplantae, Streptophyta, Magnoliopsida, Zingiberales, Zingiberaceae. The record is from RefSeq and is a predicted model, not a curated record.
UGAAGGAACCAACAAAAUCAAUAUGUCGGGAGACUCCAGUGAUCAUUAGAAUAAAGUUAAGACAUCAAAGCUAAUGUAGUUCAUGAAAUUGAAAAAAAAAAGUGGGCACUAAUUUGGGGUCCCUAGAUUUCCCGACAUACUCAAAUUCUCGUAGAUAUCUAUAUCGACUUUAAUGAUGAUCUAUGUACAAGAACACAUCUUCACACACAACCCAUUAUUAAACACCAAUUUAAUGUCAGCAAUUCUUUUCAGAAAUACAAGAGGGAUUGACAGAGUCACCAAGGGGUACCCUGAGCACUUUUACAUCAAGGAGCUUGAACAUUGAAGACCUGAAGAUGUUAUAUUACAGCUAAACUCCAUUUCACUUUCGGCUACUAUGAUUGAUCCAUUGAAACAAUGAUAGACAUGUAUUUUAAUUCUUUAAUAAACUAAUAGAGCUAGUCCAAAAGCUUCUUAUUCUAGUCCCGCAUAGGGUUCUAUAGAGAUUUCCAAUAGGUUCAUCACUUUUGAGAUACUUGUAGUCAUCUUCAAGCUAUCUAAAAUGCAAAUGCAUAUUGCAAAGAACUAGUGAAGGUUUCAGAUUUGUUUCCUCUUAAAUUAUCUGGUUAUCUAUUCUUUGGGCGUUGGGUAUCUGAAGAGAGGGAUUUCUUAGAUUAAAGACCUUUGCUCCAUUUCUUACAAGACUCAUUGAAAAACAUUUCUAAAUUAGCUCAAGUAAAUAUAUAUGAUAAAUCAAUCUAAUUCUCUAAAGCUGACACCACAGCAAUCGAUCCAUAUCAAAAUUCAUGGAUUCUUGCUCAGGGCUUCACUUGGUUUCUUAAUGCCACUAGGGGUGGUCAUUAUCAGAAUGACAGAGAGUGCCAAAUCAAUUAAAAUGAUCAAGGUUUUGUUCUACACUCAUGUAGCUGUUCAGGUCGGUAAACUCUAGUUUGUUCUUGCUACAAACUGCGACUAUUCAGGAUUACAAGUCCUCAAUACAAACUCUUCUA